RNAcentral lists this long non-coding RNA (520 nucleotides) under Cricetulus griseus (Chinese hamster). Its description in RNAcentral is "lncRNA (ENSCGRG00015034366.1)". The record is from RNAcentral. Lineage: Eukaryota; Metazoa; Chordata; Mammalia; Rodentia; Cricetidae.
GCCAAGCAUUACAACUCUGGCUACUGCUUUGUCAGUGAAGAGAUGGUAGUCUUUUGGGAACCAGUUGGAAGAAUCUAUCAGGAAGUAAGCUUGUGCAGUAAUGGGCUCUCAAUGAAAUAAUUCCAGUCAGACCAGAAAUCUUUCUGGUGAGUAUAAAGCAUUCUACCUCUGAAAUAUGUUUUGGUCUAAAUAACUGAGUUCCUACUCAGCAGUAAUGGUCUACCAUGAGAGAGUACCAUUUUUACCAGAAACGAGUCUCCCAAACAGCUUAUAGAUAAAAUACCCCCCCCCCCGGAAUUUGCCUGGAAUUUGAAUUCCUCAGAAUCAUCCACACUGAGUUAAUAAUUAAAAGUUCCUCAUACUGUUUGUUUGUUUCACCUGUGUACAGGAUUCCAGUUUCACAAAAUCCUCCCAACAGAAUUAUUCAACCUGGUGUCAAAGAAAGGUCUACCUAUUCCAGCAACCCAAGGGCAAGUCUCUGCUAGCUCAGGAAGAAAAGAGGUGGGAGGCUGAAGAAGCC